RNAcentral lists this long non-coding RNA (6389 nucleotides) under Homo sapiens (human). RNAcentral's name for it is "non-protein coding lnc-TCIRG1-2:15". Lineage: Eukaryota; Metazoa; Chordata; Mammalia; Primates; Hominidae. The record is from RNAcentral.
GUAACAUUUCCCAGCGCUGCCACAGGCGCGUCUCGCCCUGUCCAACGCGGAGCCCGAAGAAUUACUAAGAAACCGAGGUCUGAAGGAGGGAAGAGGUGACGGGCUCGAGGCCACACGGUGGGCCAGGCUGGGCCCGGCUGCACGCCGGCUACCGGGGCCCAGCCCUCUGCACGCCUCCCGCAGCCUCAGUUUCCCUGUCCGUGGUACUGAGGAUGCUCGGGCCUAGAAGUUCAGGGCUGGAGGCCCAGGGACCGUCGAGGGAGGGGCAUCAUCCCCGCCAUGGGGCCGCCGCAACUGCCCAGAGCACAGGCCAAAGGUGCGUGCCACGGGGCUACUGGCGUUGUGGACGCUGCCCCUGCCUCCCCAUCCCCCGCAGGAAACAGCCUUGUGACCGUGACUAACGCACCUUUGCCGGGGUAGAGGGGCAAGGGCCCCUGCUACCGUUUGCCACACACUGCCCCAUGUCCCUCACUGCUCCCGUCCUUCCUAGAAGUGAGGUGCUGAUACAUAUAAAAAUUAUGGAUCCCAUUUUAUGGGACAUGAGCUGAAACAGGAGGUUUCCUGGGCUGCCAGGGGCUUAGGAAAUCCAGUGCCUGAUACACAGGAAAUGCUUCUAUGUGGGGAGUUCACAGUCUUCCAGAAGCAAAAAUGUUUUUUGGUUUUUUUUUUGAGACGGAGUCUUGCUCAGUCGCCCAGGCUGGAGUGCAGUGGCACGAUCUCGGCUCACUGCAACCUCCGCCUCCCGGGUUCACGCCAUUCUGCUGCCUCAGCCUCCCGAGUAGCUAGGACUACAGACGCCCGCCACGACGCCUGGCUAAUUUUUUUUUUUUUUUUUUUUUUUUUUUUGUAUUUUUAGUAGAGACGGGGUUUCAUCGUGUUAGCCAGGAUGGUCUCGAUCUCCUGACCUCGUGAUCCGCCCGCCUCGGCCUCCCAAAGUGCUGGGAUUACAGGAGUGAGCCACCGCGCCCGGCCGCAAAAAUCUUUUAGAGUGUGUACUUGGCUGAACUUGCUCCACGCAAAAUGGUCUUAUUUAAGGAUAAAAAUGAAAGGGGACUUUUGUAAGGCUGCUGUGGCGACAGGCCUGGAAGUUGACCUGCAGGGAGGUAGGAGAGACCAAGGCCCCUGGGACGGAGGCCGGCCACUGGAUGUUUGAAAGGCUGAGAAGCCAAGGGCUUCAAUCUGGGGAGGCCGUUUGGAUAAAGGAGCCAAGGACUUUCUCUAAAAAUACCGGCUCACAGGGAGGUGGGGCCAUGCCAAUGGCCUGCCCAGGUGACAAGCCCUUUGUCCCACUGUCCCCUGGCACCAGUCUGGUAAUCUCAAAGGAAUGCCAGAAAUCUGGCCAGGAGGAAGGGACACUAAAGUAAGGAGUGGCCCUCUAUAAUUUGAAAUAACUCUUUCUGGCAUCUGCUGGCUUUUGUUAGGAAAAGCCUCAGACAUUUUUAUGGGAUCACAGUUCCCUGUGGGAGGAAGAGGUUGCCUCAAGGCCAGGCAUGGUGGCUUAUGGCUGUAAUCCCAGCACUUUGGGAGGCCAAGGCAGGAGGAUCACUUGAGCCAGGAGUUUGAGACCAGCCUGGCCAACAUAACAAGACUCUGUCUCGCCGGGCGAGGUGGCUCAUGCCUGUAACCCCAGCACUUUGGGAGGCCGAGGUGGGCGGAUCACAAGGUCAGGAGUUCGAGACCAUUCCGGCUAACACGGUGAAACCCCAUCUCUACUAAAAAUACAAAAAAAAUUAGCCGGGCGUAGGUGGUGCAUGCCUGUAGUCCCAGCUACUCGGGAGGCUGAGGCAGGAGAAUGGCAUAAAACCCAGGAAGCGGAGGUUGCAGUGAGCCGAGAUCGCGCCACUGCACUACAGACUGGGAGACAGAGCGAGACUCCGUCUCAAAAAAAAAAAAAGACUGUCUCAAAAAUUAAAAAUGAAAAAAAAAAUUAACAGAGCAUUGUGUCUUACACUUGUCCGACUACUUGGGAGGCUCAGCCAGGAGCAUCACUUGAGCCUGGGAGGUCAAGGCACCCACUGCACUCCAGCCUGAGUGACAGAGUGAGACCGUAUUUGCUGAAUGAAUGAAUCAGUGAGCUCCUGGCUCAGCAAUUAUUAACUUAUGACUUUGGGCUGAGCCUCGGUUUCCUCAACUAUAAAAUGGGGAUUAUAAUACCCCGAGCAUCCAGGAUUGAGAGAAUGUAUGCAAAAUGCAUAGCAUGCAAGAAGUAACCGUUUGGUUGCGUGCAGUGCAUUGCAUGGCGUUGCCUCUGCCAGUGGUUGGUUUUCGGAGAUGAAUAAUGCAUGCACUUGUAGCAUUUCACAGCUUGGGAAGACAGUGUCGUAUAAGAAAAGAAUUUGGGCCGGGUGUAGUAGCUUAUGCCUGUAAUCCCAGCACUGUGGGAGGCCAAGGUGGGAGGUUUGCUUGAGGCCAGGAGUUCAAGAUGAGCCUGGGCAACAAGUGAGACCCUGUCUCUACAAAAAAUAAAAUAAUUGGCCAGGCACAGUGACAUGUGCCUGUAAUCUCAGUUACUUAGAAGCCGGAGGUGGGAGGAUCCCUUGAACCCAGGAGUUCAAGGCUGCAGUGAGCCAUGAUCACGCCACUGCUCUCCAGCCUGGGCAACAGAGGCUAGGAAAAUAAAAAUACAUUUUAAACAAAAAUAAUUCAAACACUCUGAUAACCAAAAUGUCAAUGUCUGUGCACAAGUAGACGAGUUUGAGAGAAACUUGCUAUGGCAGGUAAUUGGAGGUUGUUCCAAUUACCAAACCUUUUCCUCUAGGAUAAGAUAAAAAAAUUAUCCAAAAGCUCUGUGAUUGAUGCUGAAUUCUGAGAGCAGACUCAGAGGGUGGGUGAUGGGCCUUAGGAGGGAUAGAGGAAAGAUUGGGAAGUUCCCGUCCACUCUGAAUUUCCUGCUGAUGGGUUCCUCGGGGUCCACCCACGGGCCUCAGCCCUGCCACCAACUCCAAGGCCUGUUCUGAGAAAGGGCUUUGUGAGUCUGACUCCCCCCAAGAUGGGGGAACCCACUGUCAAGCACCUGGUAGGAGCAGGCUUUGAGCCCUUUCAAAGAUGCUGCAUACAGCAAGUUCCCUAAGCAGCAGUGAGGUGAGUGUCAUUAGCACUUCAUCUCCCAGGUGGCAAGGGAGCUUCCCAGGGGAUAAAACCAUUCGUUAAAGGCCAGCAGGACCUGGGACUCCACCCAGGACCCCAUCCAGGGGAGCCUUGUCCUUCUGUCCUUCUGCACCAUAAGCACCUUUGGCCCAGGAAGCACUAGACAUUUGGCACAGUGGGGGUUCCCUCACGGGCUGGAGAAGCAGAGCCCUGGCAAGGCUGUGCUCACACCUCCUCCCAGGUCACACCCAGGACCAAGCACCCCUGCUCCAGUUCUGAGCCUUAAAAUAUUGAUGAGAGCACAGAGGCCACCUGGCUGCAAUCCUCCAUGUUGAAGAUUGGGUUGCAGUGCCAGCUAGCAGAGUGACAUGGAGCUGGGCUUUCCCUGAGUGCUGAGCGUGGCCCCAGCCCAGCUCUGUCAGCGAAAGGCUGUGUAGGUCCAGCAGCUUUCUGGAGGUCUCUGAGCACAAGUGUGGUCUGACUUGGACUGACCCUUCUACCAUACAUUUGGCUCAGCACCCGCAGCCAGAGUCUAGGGCCCACAGGGCUCAGAGGAAGCAGGUGACUAGAAUAUCCAUCUGUCUGGUGGGUGGGGCAGGCAUUCCUCCUGUCCUCAUUUGCAGGGAUUUUGAGUAUAAUAUUAUGGGUAAAAAUUCUGGCCAGGUGCAGUGGCUCACGCCUGUAAUCCCAACACUUUGAGAGGCCAAGGUGGAUCACCUGGGUCAGGAGUUCGAGACCAGCCUGGCCAACACGGUGAAACCCCGUCUCUACUAAAAAUACAAAAAUUAGCCAGGCAUGGUGGCACAUGUCUAUAGUUCCAGCUACUCGGGAGGCUGAGGAAGGAGAAUCACUUGAACCUAGGAGGUGGAGGUUGCAGUGAGCCGAGAUCAUGCCACUGCACUCCAGUCUGGGCAAUAAAAGCAAGACUCCAUAACGCGCGCGCGCACACACACACACACACACACACACACACACACACACACAAUCUUUAGAGGUCAUGCUGCCACCCACUGUGUGACCUUGGACAGAACAUCUACCUUUCUAAGCCACUUUCCUCAUCCCCAAAUGGAGUCCUACUCUACAGGGCUGUUGGGGAGAUUCACCGAAACCAGCAAGGAAAGAGCUGGGUGUAGAGCCAAAGCCCCACAAAGGGUAUCUAUGCUUUUCAGCUUAUUGUUAGCUGGAUUCCCAGAGCCUGGCAGAGAGCAGCAAAUACCCAUUCAUCCUAAGUGCCAGUGGAAGCGCAAAGCCUGCAGGAGCUCUGGCAGGUCUAACAGGGCCUGGAGAGUUUUCCAUUCUUUGAAGCUCCUGGCACAUUCAAAAAUUAAGAAAAAUCUAGGCGGGACACGGUGGCUCACGCCUGUAAUCCCAGCACUUUGGGAGGCUGAGGUGGGCAGAUCACCUGAGGUCAGGAGCAAGACUCCAUCUCUAAAAAAAAAAAAAGAAACAUCUCGACAGGGUUACCAAAACUGGGGCAUGUUUGAAAUACUUAAAUUGAACAAAUCAGUGCUUUUAACACACAUGCAAAAGUCCCAUUCAAGAUAAUUUUGCAAUUCUCAAGGUAAUAGAGGGAUUACUUUAAAAUAAUAAUGGAGCCAACCAAGCAUAGUGACACCUGCCUGUGGUCCAAGCUACUGGGGAAGCUGAGGCAGGAGGAUCACUUGAGCCCAGGGGAUUGAGGCUGUAGAGACAUGAUUGAGCCACUGACUCCAGCCUGGGUGACAGAGUGAGAUACUGUCAAUAAUAAUAAUAAUAAUGGUUUGUAGAGCACCUUAAGUGGUAUGGUGUGACAAACAUCUUUCAGGCCUGACAACAGAUCUCUGUACUAAUCUGAUUAUCCUUAUUCAGAUGUAUCUAAAUCUGAGGCCCUUGGGGCACAUGAUUGCCUCCUGGGGCUGCCAUAGUAGACCCUGGCAAUGACCUAGUGACCGUUCCUCUACUGGAGAUGAUCCCCUGGGCCCCUCAGAAUGCAUUUCCUGUGUCCACAUAGCCGGUGUUUUAAGUCAGGUGAUCUUUUUUUUUUUUUUUUUUUUUUUGAGACGAGGCCUCUCUCGUUGCCCAGGCUGGAAUGCAGUGGUGCAAUCUCGGCUCACUGAAACUUCUUCCUCAUGGGUUCAAGUGACUGGCCUGCCUCAGUCUCCCAAGUAGCUGGGAUUACAGGUGUGCACCACAACGCCCGGCUAAUUUUGGUAUUUUUAGUAGAGAUGGGGUUUUGCCAUGUUGGCCAGGCUAGUCUCGAUAUCUGCCCACCUCAGCUUCCCAAAGUGCUGGAAUUACAGGCAUGAGCCACCGUCGCCAGUCUUAAGUCAGGCAAUCUAAGCUCCCUUUCCAAGUUUGUUGAAAACCUGAUUUGAGGUUUUGUGCUUUAAGCUUGCAUUACAUUUGUAACACAAUAAAUGCAAUUUUUGGCACAAUAAAUGCAAAAUUGUGGCGCAGUGACUCAUACGUGUAAUCCUAGCACUUUGGGAGGCCGAGGCAGGUGGAUCACCUGAGGUCAGGAGUUCAAGACAAGCCUGGCCAACAGGGCGAAACCCUGUCUCUACUAAAAAUACAAAAAUUAGCUGGGCAUCGUGGCAGGUGUCUAUAAUCCCAGCUAUUUAACAGGCUGAGGCAGGAGAAUCACUUGAACCUGGAGGGCAGAGGUUGCAGUGAGCCAAGAUUGCGCCACUUUACUCCAGCCUGGGCAAAAGAGCCAAACUCUGUCUCCAAAAAACAAACAAACAAAAUAGAAAAUAAAUACAAUUUUUAAAAAGACCCCAGUCAUCAUGCAGGUUACACUGUGGGGAUAACACUUCUGGGCUAGGAGUUGGGCAACCUGGGUUCAGGCACCGCACCCCCUCUGCCGGCUGCACAGGGCCCCUCUCCCCUCAGUCAGCCCUGGGCCCUGCAGGCUGGACUUUUGCCUGGUAGCUUUGGGCUGGCCCUCCCUUCUGCAGGGGACCCCUUGUACAGAUGGGUAAGCAGAGGCACAGGGGCACAGGCAGGACAGCGGCUCUGCUCACGCAGGAUGCCAUGGCCAGUCGUGGGCCUACUCCAUCCUUGAUCCUCCCCUCCCAAGGGCACUUGCCAUCCAGGCCUGAAUGGCAAGAGGCCCCUAAGGGGCCCCCAGUCCUGUCGGCACCCCCUUUGAGUGACUGACAGGGAGGCAGGGGAGCUGGCAGCCCCCAUCCCCACACCAGCUUGUGGAAGCUACCAGCGAUCGGUGGGGCCCCACUGGCAGCCCGUCCGUGUAGCCUUGGCCGGGCCCCCAAGCUUCUUAGAAUGCCAUCUAAGAAGGCAGAGGGGGAUGAGCGGCGGCGGGG